UAUCGGUCCCUUCGCAGCGUAAUGUCAGCGAACCCCGUCAGAUCCGGAAGGAAGCAGCGGUAGUUGUCCAUGCGGGUGCCGAGGUGUGGCUGGUAUAA
This 98-nucleotide signal recognition particle RNA is filed under the name Rickettsiella grylli. RNAcentral describes it as "signal recognition particle sRNA small type". It matches the Rfam family "Bacterial small signal recognition particle RNA". Rfam says of the family: The signal recognition particle (SRP) is a universally conserved ribonucleoprotein involved in the co-translational targeting of proteins to membranes. Archaeal SRP consists of a 7S RNA and homologues of the eukaryotic SRP19 and SRP54 proteins. In most bacteria, the SRP consists of a 4.5S RNA and the Ffh protein (a homologue of the eukaryotic SRP54 protein). The record is from RNAcentral. Lineage: Bacteria; Pseudomonadati; Pseudomonadota; Gammaproteobacteria; Legionellales; Coxiellaceae.